Long non-coding RNA from Neopsephotus bourkii (Bourke's parrot), 1054 nucleotides. RefSeq lists it as uncharacterized. The transcript is spliced from 4 exons. Lineage: Eukaryota; Metazoa; Chordata; Aves; Psittaciformes; Psittacidae. The record is from RefSeq and is a predicted model, not a curated record.
GUAGGCAGCAUUCCUUGAUACAGAUGGGAUAGAAGCUCUUCAUGUUCCCAGGCCUAAAAUUACACAUGGGUGUAGCAGAAUUCUAUGUUAGAGAACCUGAGAGCACUGCUUAGUUUAAGGUGCCUGACACAGCUGUAUCCUUGUUUCUUCUCAAAGGAAGCCCCAGAAUUUGUGCCAGAUGCUGUAGGAGACUGAUGUGCCAAGACCCCAGUUUGUGCUGUGAUGAGCAACCAGCAGUGAAAACAGAUGCAGCCCAAGAGCAAAUGUAACCAAAGAGCUAGCUUAUGGAUCACAGGCGACGGCUGAAGUCUGGAGACCGAAAAUUGGAUUCUUGGCUGUACUGGUGGAUGCUCUGUGUGCUACUUCAGGCACUAAAACAUCUUGACCUUUUAUCUGGAACAAUUAAAUAGAGUUUUGCUUAAGUGGCACAUCUGCUGUUCAAGCUGGGACUUGCUUGCAUGAAGACUGCCAUUCCCAGUUCAGAAGACAUUUGCUUAUCCAACCAAAUUAGAACUCCAGUUUCCUUUUUACAAACAUCUGUUUGGAGGCAGGAAAAUCUCUCUGGAUGUGAAGCUUCAGAAAGCAGCUUCAGAAAUUUUCAUGCAGUGUUGAACUUGUGAUCAUUGGCCAAAUUCAUCUCUGAAAUUCUGCAAGCCCAACAAUAUUACUUCCUGAGUCAAGUGCUGCUUGGUUCUAGGAAAUCCUUGAAUGACUGUCACAAAUUAAAGAAAGGAAACCAGAUGCUACAAACAAGCAAACUUUGAACAUCAAGAAUGAUGUAAGAUGUAAGGAUUCCUAAUGAAAUUAAAGAACAGAAGAUUGCAGAUUAAAAAACUACAGGGAACUGAUCUCAAAACUUAGCACCCAAAGCUGCUGUACCAGAACAGGGUAUGCAGGAACUGAUGGCUGAUUUCACUUCACAUUCACCAGCUGGCAACCAACACUUAGCAAAUCUAAUUCAAAAAGUAAGGUAAGAACACUCAUAUAAGGAGCCUUCUCACACUUGUCAGAAAUGUGAGCACUUUGUAAUGUGAGUGCAGAAGUGGGUCAGAAA